UCUUGUCAGAAAAGUUGAAGUACAAGUCAACAAAAAAAAAUAAAAAUCUCGCCUCUUCGAUUCCUCGUCUUCGAUCGAUGGAAGGCGGGCGGCGUCGGCUCCUCCCCAUUUCUACCGUAGCCACAGAGGUGUCCUUCCUUGUCCCUGGCUUCCUCUUCCAACCACAGACGAGAAGCUCGUUGUGUACCUGGACGGCAAGAUCCGCAGCCAGCUAAUCGCCGAGGCGAACCUCGACUAGCGCAAGCCAUUGGACCUCCUCGGCCGCUCCAGAUUCGCAGCCCCAGAUUGGGUACUUCUUCAUCCCUCUGGACCGCGAGUUCUCUGACCGAUCACGGACUCACCGCGUCACAUGAAACGGUGUGGGGCACACACUGGGCCUACAUUAGCUCCGCCCAUGGGAGGAGGCGUAUGGUAUGACAGAUCUUGAGGAAGAGUGAGAAGAGGAAGUGAUCGACGGUGUGGGGAAGAUGAGUUCAAAUCGAAAGAGGGCUGUUUGCAGUUCAGUAUCUCCUCAGAUUCCAUUCAAGGAAGACAAAGAAGUUCACGAUGACACAACCAAUUACAGUUUGCUUCAGAAUUCUUCCUUGUGGUGUUCAGAGACAGAGAAGCAUGUCAGGGUUCAUGAAUCAUCACUUGGUGAAAGGACGGAUACCAGACUUUAAAUGGAACAUGUAACGCAAUCCUAACAAAUUAUUGAAUUUACUGGCCCACAAAGUUCUCCAACGCAGCUUUCCCGAGUUCCAAGUAAGUUUCAAUCCCCACUCUCCCUAGGCAUUUUCCUAGCUGCUUAGAGUAUGGAUUUCAGAGAAAAUUUCAUUUUACCACUAAACUUUUGUUAUUUUUUAGAAUGGCCUUUAGAAUUUCACUAUUAUCAUUUUACCUUUGUACUUUUGUGAAUGUCGUCAAAAUACCCCCUGUAGUUUCUCUCUAUUAUCAUUUUAUUCUACACUUUACGAUGUUGUUGAUUUGUCCAUCCGUGAUUGUUAAUGGCAAAGAGGAUAAAUUGACAAUUUAAUUCUAUGAAAGUAUGAGGAUAAUAUGGUGAAAUUGCAGAAAUUAUCUCGACAAUAAUUGAGAAAGUGCAGAGGUAAAAUAACAAUAGUGAAACUACAUGGCCAUUUUGAAAAAGCAAUAAAAGUUUAGGGGUAUAAUAAAAUUUUCUUGGGCUCUGCCACCACAUUAUAUAAGCUUUUCUAUAGUCAAAAUUCAACUAUUAUUUCAUUUUACAUAAUUAUUUUUAAAAAAGAGUUU
This is a long non-coding RNA of Zingiber officinale, 1251 nucleotides long. RefSeq lists it as uncharacterized. The transcript is spliced from 4 exons. The record is from RefSeq and is a predicted model, not a curated record. Lineage: Eukaryota; Viridiplantae; Streptophyta; Magnoliopsida; Zingiberales; Zingiberaceae.